This 1511-nucleotide long non-coding RNA is filed under the name Salmo salar (Atlantic salmon). RNAcentral describes it as "lncRNA (ENSSSAG00000087591.1, ENSSSAG00020082476.1, ENSSSAG00075016065.1)". Lineage: Eukaryota; Metazoa; Chordata; Actinopteri; Salmoniformes; Salmonidae. The record is from RNAcentral.
UGUGUGUGUGUGUGUGUGUGUGUGUGUGUGUGUGUGUGUGUGUGUGUGUGUGUGUGUGUGUGUUGAGUGUGUAAUGUUCCUUUAUCUAACUUUAGGGUCAGCUGUGUUCAUUCUCAUUUUCUCAUUCUUCAUUGCCAGAUUUGGGAGAUUAUUUCAGCUGAAGGGGUUUUGUGACAUUUUACUCAACACAUUCUUACUCAGUGACUUAUGCAGAGGAGCCUAGAAAAACAACAGCUAUCACAUAGUCAGUGUGCACCUUCCUUUCAAAAAAAUACAAAUUCUCUCACAAUUUCAUCACUUUUUUCACACAAUUUAAUGCCAAAAGUUUCUGUUUUAUGGGACACGGCAUUUGUGGGAGUGGAUCCUUACAUGUGGAACCAAUCUUCUUUGGGAUAAUGAAUUCUGCAGGUGGUGGGGAGUCGUUUGUGUGCUACACUAAAGGCCAGGGAAAGAGACCACAUACUAAAGCAAGGCUGAGCUAACCGUUUUCCAGCAGCAUCUCCAGUUGCUGUGAGAUGUUACCCCACUCUUCCACCAAGGCACCUGCAAGUUCCCGGACAUUUCUGGGGGGAAUGGCCCUAGGCCUCACCCUUCUGAUCCAACAGGUCCCAGACGUGCUCAAUAAGAUUGAGAUCUGGUCUCUUCACUGGCCAUGGCAGAACACUGACAUUCCUGUCUUGCAGGAAAUCACGCACAGAACAAGCAGUAUGGCUGGUGGCAUUGUCAUGCUGGAUGGUCAUGUCUGAAUGAGCCUGCAGGAAGAGUACCACAUGAGGGAGGAGGAUGUCUUCCCUGUAACGCACAGCGUUGAGAUUGCCUGCAAUGACAACAUGCUCAGUCCGAUGAUGCUGUGACACACCGCCUCAGACCAUGAUGGACCCUCCACCUCCAAAUUGAUCCCGCUCCAGAGUACAGGCCUCAAAACCGCGACUUGUCAGUGAAGAGCACUUUUUGCCAGUCCUGUCUGGUCCAGCGACGUGGGUUUGUGCCCAACGUUGUUGCCGGUGAUGUCUGGUGAGGACCUGUCUUACAACAGGCCUACAAGCCCUCAGUCCAGCCUCUCUCAGCCUAUUGCGGACAGUCUGAGCACUGAUGGAGGGAUUGUGCAUUCUUGUUGUAACGUUACUUAGCUAGCUACCUAGCCUCAAAUCAAAUAGCUAGCAUGCAGAUAUCCCCAAGUCCCAGUGACACAUAUACAAGACACCUGUCUGAUUCGUGCUGGGUGUACUGAUCCAGUCUAAGACAUGUGCUACUGAAAUUGUAUAUGGUUGUAUUACAUAAACAAUUGUGCAACACUAAUAAAAAUAAUAUUGUUUUAUAACAAAUGCGCUUUCUCCCUUGUCGGAUAGCGGUUUCUGAAACACAUCAGUGCGCUGUUGAAUUAAGACAGAUCCUGCUUCUGUUGCCUGUUUGAGUGAUUGUUUAAUAGCCUACUGAUUCCGUGAGCCCCAAGCCUCAAGUAAACAAUUUCACAUAUUCGGUUGUUUUUAAUCUUUGCUUUAAUGUAAUAA